GACGAAGGGGGCAAGCGUUGUUCGGAAUUACUGGGUUUAAAGGGUGCGUAGGCGGCUAUGUAAGUCAGGAGUGAAAGUUUGCGGCUCAACCGUAAAAUUGCUUUUGAUACUGCAUGGCUGGAAUCAGGAUGAGGUCAGCGGAAUGUGGCAUGUAGCGGUGAAAUGCAUAGAUAUGCCAUAGAACACCAAUUGCGAAGGCAGCUGGCUAGACCUGUAUUGACGCUGAGGCACGAAAGCGUGGGGAGCGAACAGG
This 253-nucleotide ribosomal RNA is filed under the name uncultured bacterium. Its description in RNAcentral is "partial 16S ribosomal RNA". It matches the Rfam family "Bacterial small subunit ribosomal RNA", at positions 524 to 776 of the family's 1533-position model. The record is from RNAcentral.